UGGGGAAUCUUGCACAAUGGGCGAAAGCCUGAUGCAGCGACGCCGCGUGCGGGAUGAAGGCCUUCGGGUUGUAAACCGCUUUCAGCAGGGACGAGGCCGCAAGGUGACGGUACCUGCAGAAGAAGCCCCGGCUAACUACGUGCCAGCAGCCGCGGUAAUACGUAGGGGGCAAGCGUUAUCCGGAUUCAUUGGGCGUAAAGCGCGCGUAGGCGGUUUGUUAGGUCAGGAGUUAAAUCUGGGGGCUCAACCCCUAUCCGCUCCUGAUACCGGCAGGCUUGAGUCUGGUAGGGGAAGGCGGAAUUCCAAGUGUAGCGGUGAAAUGCGCAGAUAUUUGGAAGAACACCGGUGGCGAAUGCGGCCUUCUGGGCCACGACUGACGCUGAGGCGCGAAAGCUAGGGGAGCGAACAGG
This 410-nucleotide ribosomal RNA is filed under the name Verrucomicrobiota bacterium. Its description in RNAcentral is "Verrucomicrobia bacterium partial 16S ribosomal RNA". It matches the Rfam family "Bacterial small subunit ribosomal RNA", at positions 355 to 776 of the family's 1533-position model. The record is from RNAcentral. Lineage: Bacteria; Pseudomonadati; Verrucomicrobiota.